UAAGAGUUUGGAACCUGGCUCAGGACGAACGCUGGCGGCGUGCCUAAUACAUGCAAGUAGAACGCUGAAGGAGGAGCUUGCUUCUCUGGAUGAGUUGCGAACGGGUGAGUAACGCGUAGGUAACCUGCCUGGUAGCGGGGGAUAACUAUUGGAAACGAUAGCUAAUACCGCAUAACAGUAGAUGUUGCAUGACAUUUGCUUAAAAGGUGCAAUUGCAUCACUACCAGAUGGACCUGCGUUGUAUUAGCUAGUUGGUGGGGUAACGGCUCACCAAGGCGACGAUACAUAGCCGACCUGAGAGGGUGAUCGGCCACACUGGGACUGAGACACGGCCCAGACUCCUACGGGAGGCAGCAGUAGGGAAUCUUCGGCAAUGGACGGAAGUCUGACCGAGCAACGCCGCGUGAGUGAAGAAGGUUUUCGGAUCGUAAAGCUCUGUUGUAAGAGAAGAACGAGUGUGAGAGUGGAAAGUUCACACUGUGACGGUAUCUUACCAGAAAGGACGGCUAACUACGACAGAC
Molecule: ribosomal RNA, 521 nt
Filed under: uncultured Streptococcus sp.
Lineage: Bacteria; Bacillati; Bacillota; Bacilli; Lactobacillales; Streptococcaceae
Description: bacterial SSU rRNA
Rfam family: Bacterial small subunit ribosomal RNA
Source: RNAcentral